RNAcentral lists this ribosomal RNA (253 nucleotides) under uncultured bacterium. RNAcentral's name for it is "partial 16S ribosomal RNA". It matches the Rfam family "Bacterial small subunit ribosomal RNA", at positions 524 to 776 of the family's 1533-position model. The record is from RNAcentral.
UACAGAGGUCUCAAGCGUUGUUCGGAUUCAUUGGGCGUAAAGGGUGCGUAGGCGGCGCGGUAAGUCGGGUGUGAAAUCUCGGAGCUUAACUCCGAAACUGCAUUCGAUACUGCCGUGCUUGAGGACUGGAGAGGAGACUGGAAUUUACGGUGUAGCGGUGAAAUGCGUAGAUAUCGUAAGGAAGACCAGUGGCGAAGGCGGGUCUCUGGACAGUUCCUGACACUGAGGCGCGAAAGCGUGGGGAGCAAACAGG